CGCAUGUGUGUAUGGAUGUAGUGUAUAGAUGAGAUCAUCAAGCUACACUGACUUAGUUUCUGAUUAUGGGAAACAGGAAACCAAACUUUCUAAAAAUGAUUAGUAAGUUUUUGUUUAAUCAAAUGGCUGGCAGAAACUUGAAAUUUCUUUAACAUAUUAGCUAUAAGUUCUAUAGAAAGUUCUUUUAGGAAAGAAAAAAUAACCAUUCCAAGAAACUUCUUUUCUGUUUUUUCUAUUAUAGUGAGCUGCAUAGUUCUCCUAAGCAAGGAGGUGGACUUCAUCCUCCUUACCUCUUUCACCCUUGCCUACCCCAGGGACUGUCUGACAAGACCUAAUAUCAGAUUCAUCAGUAAGAAUCCCGAUUCUACGCAAAGAAAUUGAAUUGAUUCUGUUUUUUUCAAGAGAUGAAAUUGCUUCUUGUGGUUAUGAAGGCAGGUAUGGAGAAGCUAAGUGAGUUCUAUUUCUUAAUGGAUAGUUGUUUUUUUUUUUUAUAUUUUUAGAAAGAUAAAGCCUCGCAAGUCAGUUCUACAAUUUCCACUUAUGAAAUAUAUAUUACAGAGGAAAUAUUUUAGUCAGAGUCUUUCAUCUAUACUACCAUGUAAAGAAUUUUAAAUAACAUAAUAGUCCCUAGUGAUCCUCCAGUGAAA
Molecule: small RNA, 647 nt
Filed under: Rattus norvegicus (Norway rat)
Lineage: Eukaryota; Metazoa; Chordata; Mammalia; Rodentia; Muridae
Description: uncharacterized LOC108351591
Source: RNAcentral